GUUGAUUUAGGUUACAUCAAGGGUACUCCAAAUUAAAAAUAAUAGUUAUAAAUGAUCGAGUCCAUAUCUUUGAUUAAACCAAGUGGACCUUGAUUGAGGCUUAAAGGUUGAGCCCGAAUCAUUAGGCUGAUUAGAUCGCUAGGUGACUCGAGUUGAUCCAUGUUGUUAAGGUUAAUCAGUAUGACUAAUUUAGGUGCCCUGGAUCGACUUG
This 211-nucleotide long non-coding RNA is filed under the name Elaeis guineensis (African oil palm). RNAcentral's name for it is "long non-coding RNA (EGUI_LNC077481)". Lineage: Eukaryota; Viridiplantae; Streptophyta; Magnoliopsida; Arecales; Arecaceae. The record is from RNAcentral.